Molecule: transfer-messenger RNA, 380 nt
Filed under: Candidatus Fimimonas merdipullorum
Lineage: Bacteria; Pseudomonadati; Myxococcota; Myxococcia; Myxococcales; Myxococcaceae
Also listed under: 1 other name
Rfam family: transfer-messenger RNA
About the family: Bacterial tmRNA, also known as 10Sa RNA or SsrA, is named for its dual tRNA and mRNA-like properties. Its role is to liberate the mRNA from a stalled ribosome.
Source: RNAcentral
GGGGGUGUUUCAAGAUUCGCCCGGCGUUGAGGGAGAUUCGAUAAGCGUGUCGCAGCGCCUACUGCGUACCAAGGCAAAACUAAAUUAAACGCUAACAAUAGCAACUACAGCCGUUCUUACAACAGAAUGGCAAUCGCUGCGUAACAAUUAAACGCGCGCAUCGUCCCGAGCCAUUACACACGGCGCGGUGUUCGGUGUAAGACAGUGUGUAUCGCGGUUUGUCCGCACGGCUUUGCGGCAAAACGUUAAAUUCUUUUAGUCUUGGCGGUGUUUUUCCCGUUUGUCGGAAAGGCAUCGCGACGGUUGAAGGCAAACUUUGCACGGAGAAAAUCGAGUAGUCCUGCGUCGGUACACGGGUGCAAUUCCCGUCACCUCCACCA